GCUCCAAGUACAUCAACAGAAACCUCAACUGUUUACCUUAACUCAGAAUAAGAUUAUAUAUUUUGAGCCUAUAGCAUACAAAUAGUGAUUUGUCACUGUGUAGUCAUGACACUGGUCAGUGUUGGUGUAAUUUUCUGUCUCCACAUGUUUGUACAGAAGACAUCAUGACACAGGACAGUCAUCUACAGAUGGUGAUCGUCGUGGCGUGUGCUGUCACUGGCGGUGUGCUGAUUCUGCUGCUGGGACUUCUAGUUUUUAAACGUCAGCGAAAAACAGGAGCUGACAGCUGGUUUAAAAUCAGUCAUGCAAGUUCAGAGGAUAUGUUGGACUGCAGUACUACAGUCAUCUAUUCAGCUAGUACAGCUCAGUGAGCCUUAACACUGGAAACUCCUGUACAGAAUCUUGUAGCCUAUUUCCUUUGAGAAAAAAAAAUAAAAAUAAAAAAAUUGAAUGGAAUUGAAAACAUCAAAUUAAUCUUGUAUUAAUAAUAAAUCAUGCAUUAUUUUGGUAAAUUAGGAAUGAAUUAAGAGUAAUAAAUCUUGUUGAGAUUGUGUUGUGUGUGCUCUCUCUGUAAGCAACAGGUCUUUGGGUUUCAUUUGCAUGGGAGAAAACAAAUGCAACAAACAUCAUCUGAGUAAUCAGACUUGAAUUAAUAUGCUUGCAUACCAGAAAGAAACCUCCAUGUGGUUUCAUGACACACAACUGUGUUAAAUCUAGCAACGCAUUUCCUGGUAUGGAAAAAAAGCUAAAAAUAUUUCAACUAAAAGUUAGAAUGCAAAAUGAAAAAUAUUAAAUUGCAAGAAUUUUAAACUAUAAGACAUUCAUAAAAAUAAAUGUAAAAUGAUUGCAUUCCCUAUGUGCACCAAAGCCCAUAAAAAGUAAUUUCAUUUUAGACCAGCACUCAGAACAGGAACAUGAAACAAAAGU
Long non-coding RNA from Megalobrama amblycephala (Wuchang bream), 927 nucleotides. RefSeq lists it as uncharacterized. The transcript is spliced from 3 exons. Lineage: Eukaryota; Metazoa; Chordata; Actinopteri; Cypriniformes; Xenocyprididae. The record is from RefSeq and is a predicted model, not a curated record.